UAAGGGGUGACCUGCGGAGGGAUCAUUACCGAGUUUUCAACUCCCAAACCCCUGUGAACAUACCAAUCGUUGCCUCGGCGGGAGAGCCCCGGGCGUUGGCGAAAGCCUCGCACCGGUAUCAGGCGCCCGCCGGAGGACCCAAACAAACUCUUGAAUUCUAAAGUAUCUUCUGAGUAAUAUAAGUUAAAUAAAUUAAAACUUUCAACAACGGAUCUCUUGGUUCUGGCAUCGAUGAAGAACGCAGCGAAAUGCGAUAAGUAAUGUGAAUUGCAGAAUUCAGUGAAUCAUCGAAUCUUUGAACGCACAUUGCGCCCGCCAGUAUUCUGGCGGGCAUGCCUGUUCGAGCGUCAUUUCAACCCUCAAGCCCAGCUUGGUGUUGGGGAUCGGCACAGGCGCCCUCGGGCGCCCGCCGUCCCCUAAAUCUAGUGGCGGUCCCGCUGCAGCCUCCUCUGCGUAGUAGUUUUCUCCUCGCAAGGGCAGCUCGGUGGCGACCUCGCCGUAAAACCCCCAACUUCUGAAAGGUUGACCUCGAAUCAGGUAGGAAUACCCGCUGAACUUAAGCA
This 563-nucleotide ribosomal RNA is filed under the name Volutella sp. HR42. RNAcentral describes it as "eukaryotic LSU rRNA". The stretch from base 197 to 350 matches the Rfam family "5.8S ribosomal RNA". The record is from RNAcentral. Lineage: Eukaryota; Fungi; Ascomycota; Sordariomycetes; Hypocreales; Nectriaceae.